This 476-nucleotide ribosomal RNA is filed under the name uncultured bacterium. RNAcentral describes it as "SSU rRNA". It matches the Rfam family "Bacterial small subunit ribosomal RNA", at positions 26 to 523 of the family's 1533-position model. The record is from RNAcentral.
AGAACGAACGCUGGCGGCAUGCCUAACACAUGCAAGUCGAACGCUUCACCGGUUUCGGCCGGUGGGGAGUGGCGCACGGGUGAGUAGCGCGUGGGAACCUGCCCUGUUGUGGGGGAUAACCGAGGGAAACUUCGGCUAAUACCGCAUAAGCCGGUUGUCUUGAAAGAGAUGGCCGGGAAAGAUUUAUCGCGACAGGAGGGGCCCGCGUCGGAUUAGCUAGUUGGUGGGGUAACGGCCCACCAAGGCUGUGAUCCGUAGCUGGUCUGAGAGGAUGAUCAGCCACACUGGGACUGAGACACGGCCCAGACUCCUACGGGAGGCAGCAGUGGGGAAUAUUGGACAAUGGGCGCAAGCCUGAUCCAGCAAUGCCGCGUGAGUGAUGAAGGCCUUAGGGUUGUAAAGCUCUUUUGGCGGGACGAUGAUGACGGUACCCGCAGAAUAAGCCCCGGCUAACUUCGCGCCAGCAGCCGCGGUAA